GCCAAGCUCGCUGAGGCCUUCAAGUACUUCGUGCAGGGCAUGGGAUACAUGCCCUCGGCUAGCAUGACCCGCCUGAUGCGGUCCCGCACAGCCUCUGGUUCCAGCGUCACUUCUCUGGAUGGCACCCGCAGCCGCUCCCACACCAGCGAGGGCACCCGAAGCCGCUCCCACACCAGCGAGGGCACCCGCAGCCGCUCGCACACCAGCGAGGGGGCCCACCUGGACAUCACCCCCAACUCGGGUGCUGCUGGGAACAGCGCCGGGCCCAAGUCCAUGGAGGUCUCCUGCUAGGCGGCCUGCCCAGCUGCCGCCCCCGGACUCUGAUCUCUGUAGUGGCCCCCUCCUCCCCGGCCCCUUUUCGCCCCCUGCCUGCCAUACUGCGCCUAACUCGGUAUUAAUCCAAAGCUUAUUUUGUAAGAGUGAGCUCUGGUGGAGACAAAUGAGGUCUAUUACGUGGGUGCCCUCUCCAAAGGCGGGGUGGCGGUGGACCAAAGGAAGGAAGCAAGCAUCUCCGCAUCGCAUCCUCUUCCAUUAACCAGUGGCCGGUUGCCACUCUCCUCCCCUCCCUCAGAGACACCAAACUGCC
Molecule: long non-coding RNA, 586 nt
Filed under: Homo sapiens (human)
Lineage: Eukaryota; Metazoa; Chordata; Mammalia; Primates; Hominidae
Description: long non-coding RNA NONHSAT217671.1
Source: RNAcentral